This is a non-coding RNA of Eragrostis curvula (weeping love grass), 70 nucleotides long. The record is from the annotation of a GenBank genome assembly. Lineage: Eukaryota; Viridiplantae; Streptophyta; Magnoliopsida; Poales; Poaceae.
CCGUUGGCUCAGUGGUAAAGCUGGCUGUUGCCAGCCCGCCCGCCCGGGUUCGAUCCCUGGGAUCGACGGG